CUACAUCUCCUCUGUGCACCAGUGCGUGUCAAUGGGUUUGUUUGCAAGAACCCAAUGGAUGCCAACGCUGAUGACUUCUUCAAGGCAGCCGCCCUCGACAAGCCUAGGGUGACCAACAAGGUUGGGUCCAACGUUACCUUGAUCAACGUCAUGCAGAUUGCUGGACUCAACACCCUCGGCAUCUCAAUUGCACGCAUCGACUAUGCUCCCUUGGGUCAGAACCCACCACACACGCACCCUCGUGCCACUGAGAUCCUCACGGUGCUCGAGGGGACACUAUAUGUCGGAUUUGUCACGUCCAACCUGCCCGCCCCCAACAGAAACAAGUUCCUCUCCAAGGUGCUCAACAAAGGUGAUGUGUUUGUCUUCCCCGUGGGGCUCAUUCACUUUCAAUUCAACCCCAACCCCCACCAGCCCGCCGUUGCCAUUGCCGCGCUCAGCAGCCAGAACCCAGGGGCUAUCACAAUUGCCAAUGCUGUUUUUGCGUCAGACCCAACAAUAUCAGAUGAUGUUCUUGCCAAGGCGUUUCAGGUGGAAAAGAAUACAAUAGAUUGGCUCCAGGCUCAGUUCUGGGAGAACAACCAAAACUAAGUCAGGCAUUGGGUGAUUACCCGGAAGAUUAGUGCAUAAACCAAGGAAUUAGUUAAGUUUCUAGACAUGCAUCUUAAGCUGUAAAAUUAAUGGAGCACAUGUCAGGUCGGUGUGUGUAUGUAAACAUUGAAUGCAUUUCUUCCUUCCAAAUAAUUGACAAUACCAUUUUUUUUAUCACACUGAUAUGAUCUCAUAUGCUUUUUUGGUUAUGAUGUCUCGUAUUUCUCACAACAAAUCAAAAUUUCGGUUCUUUUCCCCUUGUUCUGAAACAAUAGAUGAUUAGGUUAAAAAAGAAACAAUACACAAUUAUGUGGUAAUUUAAAUAUGUUUGAUGCUAGGGUUGAACACCUAGGACUUUCUUGCAAUACAUGUGAAGUAUGCGAUGGUUGGAGCCCGAUUGUGCUCAUGAUUGAAACGUGAAAGUUGAGUGUGCAAAAGUUGCUUCCUUGAGUCGUUGUUCUGGUAUCUCGCUUUCUGGUGCAUGUAAUAGGAAAUUUACGGUUCCUAUGUAAUGUUUUAGAUUCAUAUUGGUUCAAACUCUUGCAAGUUCGAUUGGCGGAUGCUUUGAUGGGAGUUAAUGAGGUGAUUCGUUUUAUCAAAAAACUCGUAGCAUUAUUUGUUUUUCUUAAGUUGAGAACUAGAAAUACUCCCUCGAUUCCUAAAUAUAGAUCUUUGUAGAGGCUCCUACAUGGACUAUAUACGGAUGUGUGUAGACAUAUUUUAGAGUGUAGUCCAUAUUAAAAUCUCUAGAAAUACUUAUAUUUAAGAAGAGAGGGAGUACGAUUUUCACCCAAGUUCUAGAACCUGGAUAUACCGGAGACCAGGUUCAAAAAAUCAGCUCCAUCAAUAUACAGAAUAAACGAUUAUUACCUACCCCCUCCCCCCCCCCCAAAAUAACAGAUUAUAAUUUGAGUUGCUUGUUUGUAACAAGCUUGUCAUAGAAGUAUUUUAUCCCUAAAACGUACUUCGGCCUGCUUCCCAUACAUAAAGUCCAAUGCUUACAAGGUGUGGAGGAAAUCAUCAUACACGAUGAUGGAAGAAAGCUUGGCAAAACAAGCCAAACAUGCUAACAAGCACAUGAAGUGCACAAUUAGAUGCCUCCAACAUGCCAUCGAGAGGAAGAACAUGAGAGGUUGGACCAACUGAAGAUUCAACUAGCACCACUGGCGACAUUCAACCACGCGCCAGUUGGAGGAAAAUGCUGGACUUCAUCGCGCCAUCGCCAGCCAAUGGAUGUCGAAGAGGACCAUCUAACUAAAGCAAGGAACGUUGACUGCGAGCAGACAUGAUGAAAGGAUGACGUUGUUGCGUGUAGAAGAUAGGUGCAAGAAAAACCGUGAGUCACGGGAGGUGAGGUAGGGUCAAUUGUUUCGUCAUACCGUUCCAAACAAGCCACCACAAAUGAAGGACAACUGCACUCACUAGUGACUCCCCGAAGAGGGUCACGACGCAAUACGCCGCCACCAUCCAUCUGUAUGUGCGCAUAAGGGUUUUCACCUUGAGUUGAGAGGGCGAGAGAGCCAUGGCGACGACCCCAAGAGGGACAUGACUACCAAGACAUCACGUUACCAGCACGGAGGCGUCGAGCUUUCGCUUGGACCACAACUCACACUUAGUCAAGGGGACUUGGGCCACCAGAUCCACCAUGAUGGGCCCCAGACUCCAGAUUAGGCUCGACCAGGCCCAAGCCCACGACCAUGAACAGAUCCAGUCGAGCCUAGUAGUGCCCACGAACCCACCUAACCAUUCCGGGUGGGUGCAGGGAGGAGCUCACCGGUGGCGGAACCUCUCCCAUGAGAGGUGAUGGGCAACCACGUCAUGUCUGACCACAGUCACCCCUCACAAGUCAACGACCAUGAUGCUGGUUGAUCUGGGAAAACACCGACUUUUGGCAGAGUUCCGUUACCCAGUCAAUGACCAGGUGAACCACGUUCCCACAAGCCACGCCUUGCAACCUCAUGCCAACGGCUUGCUUCCGGCUGUGAGGGAUAGCAGCGCCAAAAGUGUGAGGUCCUAGGAGCAACCCAGAGAGACCAGGGAGUGGAGUGGAGAGACGGGACACAACGCUGCUGCCUAAAGUAACCCCGGGCUUUGCUGUGCAUGAUGUUGAUCGACGACGGUGUGGGAAGGAUGAGAGUGCGGGGUCCUAGGGACGGCGGCCGAGAUCGUCUCUCAUGUCGUCCACGAGGAUGAUGUUGGGUCAUGUAUUUUUUGGAUGCAUUUUAUUUGUCUGAUGGGAACAUAUUUUUUGUAUCAAAACUACCAACAACACUUAAUGUAAUUAACCAUUUUAACACAAUUUUGACCGAGUAAUAUCUUAUUGAUGUGAUGAUAACAGGGGCGGUACAUAUAAUAGUUGUGUAUUAGGUGCAUUCAUGCAUGGAGUAACACACCUCUGACUUAUUCCUCAUUGACACAUGCGUCAUCUUCCAACCUAAUAUUUUUUUAUAUCACUAGAUGACUCAAAUUGCAAAGUUUUUCAGUUUAUUUUUUCCAUUGGUUUUGAUGAAUGGUAAGAUAUUGCAUUAUAUCUCUGGCCACGCUUUUUACCAUAUGUAUGUUAAGUUGUUAACGCACAUCGCUAAAUGUAUAAUUAUGUGAAUGUUCUUUUUAUCCCAUGACAUAUCUCGUGCAUAGUGUUGUUCAUGACUAAUCCGGUGGCAAAUAUAUAGUUUGCUUAUGUUAGUGGCCACAUCUUGAAAAGCUUGAUUGCACGCAUUCUGUAGCAACUUAAAAUAAUGGAGAGAAUAGACCAAGCUAACAAGGUGACCUUUUCUAGGUAGAAAACGAUUGCUUUACAUAACUUCACAUAUCUCAACUGCUCUUUGAUCUCGUGCGCAUCAAUUCUCACUAUGACCAAGUAUAAGUAUAUGGUACCUAAUAAACUAUGGUGGUGGUUGGUGCCUUUUCAUGGAACCAACCCUGCAUGCAUUGUGCUGACUUGGAUGAGAUGGAUAACGUAAUUACUACUGAUAUGUACAUAAAAAGAUUCAGUAGCGCUUAAGCAAAUUAAAAGCAAACUUGAGAAGUUUAUGACAAAAUUAAUCAGAAGCCAAUAGACAAUUAUAUGAUUAUAUGGUAAUGUGCUCACAGGUUGCAAUGUGCAAGCUGAAUGUGCAAAAGUUGCUUCCUGGAGUCGUUGUUAUGGUCUGCCUUUCCUGGUGCAUGUCAUAAGUAGUUUACGGUAUUUCUAUUUUUCUUGAGUGUUUUGUUUUAGCUUCCUUUUGGUUCAAAAAUCUAAGUUUGAUUGAUCAUUCCCCAGCAAACUUUUUUAGAUAUUUGACCCCACAAUAAAACUAUUAUUUGAGUUCUUUUUCUAACCAGCUUGUGAUAGAAGUAAUUAAAUCAUUUGAUGAAAACUUCUUUCUAUCUAAAACAGCCAACACACACCUCGAAGAAAUUAAUAAGUUUAUGACUGGUUGCCCGACCUAGUCUAGUCAUUGGAUGAGUACUUACUGGUGCCGUGAACCUAGUCACGAAGGCAAACCAGAUUGUUAGAUUUAUACACUGAACUGGUCAUGCAUGAUAAAACUCUUAGCAAGAGGGUGUUGACUAGUCUUGCUAAGAUCGUAUGGAAACUUCCUGCUCUCCAUCAUCAUGACCUUUGUAUCAACUCUCCUUUUGGUUGGGUAUUUCGUGCAUUAAUGUCGCCGCUUCUUCCUGUAAUUAAGUACUCAACCACUUCGAGAGACAUCUGACAAAGUAAAUAUCGAAUUGACAUGUUGAUAACGUACAGGGGCUGCUAUAAAUCCUCUAACUACUCCGUCGUCUUAUGUUGCUGGAUUUCAUGACAAAUAUAUUGGCAAAUAAUAUAUAGUUUCAUAGUUUGAAAAGCGGGACUGCGCACAUGAUUCUAUAUCAACUUCUGGAAAGAACCUGUAGUAGUAGUCACUCUGUAUGUCUUUAGAAGUCAUGCAGACAUGAAUCAAGCGCAUGUGCAAAUAGGUGACUUUGUCUAUGUCGGCCCCGAGUUAGAAAAUGAGUGAUUGCUUUACAUGACAUGGCUUUUCUCAACUGCUCUUUGACUGGUUUCGUACGCAUUGGCUCCAACUAUGACCAAGUAUAUGAUAUCUAAUUUUACUAGUGUCAGAUGUUUCUUGUCUUAAUUAAAUAUCAUUUUCUUGACAGUGAUGUGUGGUGCAUUUUCUAGGAAUCAGUCCUGCAUGCAUUUCGGGACUCAGGUGAGAUGGAGAAACAUUCAUAAUUACUACUCAGCCGAACACAUCACCACAGAGUAGCUAUUAUAUGGCUGUAUACCCUGCAUUGCUUCUUUGAAGGGAAAACAUGUCUUAAAAGGUAACUCAUAAAGUUUAUAUAAAAUAGUUUAAUCAGCCAUCAUAGACCAUUUCAAUAUGUUGGUCGGUUCCAGUUGGCCAAGUCUAUUAUUGCUCACGAGUUCAUGCACUGCUUGCUGCGCCUAUAUAAACACAUACAUUCCCGGCAUAUCCAAACCAUCACUCACGCCACAACCACAAACAGGAACACAAGACAGGGAAAUCAAUAAGAUGGCAUCCUCCUGUUCCUUCCUUCUCCUCGCUGCUCUUCUUGCGUUGGUCUCAUGGCAGGCCACUUCCUCCGACCCUAGCCCACUCCAAGACUUUUGUGUGGCCGACAUGCAUUCACCAGGUACAGUACGGCUUCUUACCAUGCUUUCACCAAAUACAUAUGCUGAAAUUAAUUUCUAAAAAUUAUAUGCAUGUUCAUAUCACUUCCUAGUAAUACCCAAGCUUACACUCUACAUCUCCUCUAUUCACCAGUGCGUGUAAAUGGGUUUGUUUGCAAGAACCCUAUGGAUGUAAACGCUGAUGACUUCUUCAAGGCAGCCGCCCUCGACAAGCCUAGGGUGACAAACAAGGUUGGCUCCAACGUCACCUUGAUCAACGUCAUGCAGAUUGCUGGACUCAACACCCUCGGCAUCUCAAUUGCGCGCAUCGACUAUGCUCCCUUGGGUCAGAACCCGCCACAUACGCACCCUCGCGCCACUGAGAUCCUCACGGUACUCGAGGGGACACUGUAUGUCG
RNAcentral lists this long non-coding RNA (5612 nucleotides) under Hordeum vulgare. Its description in RNAcentral is "long non-coding RNA (HVUL_LNC011264)". The record is from RNAcentral. Lineage: Eukaryota; Viridiplantae; Streptophyta; Magnoliopsida; Poales; Poaceae.